UACGGAGGGUGCAAGCGUUGUCCGGAAUCACUGGGCGUAAAGGGCGCGUAGGCGGCUCAUGAAGGCUGUGGUGAAAGUCCGGGGCUCAACCUCGGAUCGGCCGUGGCGACUCGUGGGCUGGAGCACUGUAGAGGCGGGUGGAAUUCCUGGUGUAGCGGUGAAAUGCGUAGAUAUCAGGAGGAACACCUGUGGUGUAGACGGCUCUCUGGACCGCAACUGACGCUGAGACACGAAAGCGUGGGUAGCAAACAGG
RNAcentral lists this ribosomal RNA (253 nucleotides) under uncultured bacterium. Its description in RNAcentral is "partial 16S ribosomal RNA". It matches the Rfam family "Bacterial small subunit ribosomal RNA", at positions 524 to 776 of the family's 1533-position model. The record is from RNAcentral.